GCCGGGUGUGGUGGCUCACACCUGUAAUCCUAGCACUUGUGGGAGGCCGAGGCGGGUGGAUCACCUGAGGCCGGGACUUCAAGACCAGCCUGGCCAACAUGGUGAAACCCUGUCUCUA
RNAcentral lists this non-coding RNA (118 nucleotides) under Homo sapiens (human). The record is from Rfam by way of RNAcentral. Lineage: Eukaryota; Metazoa; Chordata; Mammalia; Primates; Hominidae.